Molecule: ribosomal RNA, 253 nt
Filed under: uncultured bacterium
Lineage: Bacteria
Description: partial 16S ribosomal RNA
Rfam family: Bacterial small subunit ribosomal RNA
Source: RNAcentral
UACGUAGGGACCAAGCGUUGUUCGGAUUUACUGGGCGUAAAGGGCGCGUAGGCGGCGCGGUAAGUCACUUGUGAAAUCUCUGAGCUUAACUCAGAACGGCCAAGUGAUACUGCAGUGCUAGAGUGUGGAAGGGGCAAUCGGAAUUCUUGGUGUAGCGGUGAAAUGCGCAGAUAUCAGGAGGAACACCCGUGGCGAAGGCGGCUCUCUGGGACGGUACUGACGCUGAGACGCGAAAGCGUGGGGAGCGAACAGG